ACAAAAUCUGGUAAUUUUUGUUUCUUUAGGAAUUAUUUCUGCAUUAUCUUCUCAAAACCGAAGUUCUGUUGUUGACUGCUGACAUGUCGUCUGCUCACUGCCAGCCAGGUUUAUUUCCUCUGAGGAUCCUCCUCAACGACGACGGCCAAAACCUGUUUUCGUAGUCCACUUUCCAAAAUUCUCGUUACCUGAACGGGACCACACUGCCUCUGGCAACUGACGCAUGGCACACUUCGCUUGCUCUCAGACAUAGGGAUACAAACGCAGUGCUGAAUGUCUCGCACGUGCUCAUAAUCAUUCUUUACGGAGUAAACUCUAUCUCCCUUAAAAUCACGCGUCCCUGUUCCGCCCGUUCUUCACAACAAUGGAGGGGAGCCAAGGACGAAGAAUUCCUAUAGGUAGUCACAACAUGGAGGAAAACUCGGAUUACUCGCAUGAGCUACGAUCGUUCUCGAGACAGCUUGGAGGAACAUCACAGAAAGAGCACUCGGCACUUCCUUAUUGCAGUUGCAGGAAAAAAUGUACUCGUCUGUGGCAACUAACAGAGCAGGAGGCCAGCAAGAAUCAAUGACGUCAUAUUUUGGCAUGUUCAACAUCCAACCAAUCCAAGCUGCAACACGAAACCAGUGGAAUGGUUCCCCUGCCAUGAAAGGAAGGCAUUACUGUAAGGAAUUACCCCACUGUUUUCCAAUGAGCUUGCACACCUUUCAUGAAAGAGCAAACAAACAUAGCAAGCAUCCCACUGCAUCAACACCGCAAAAGACCGCCGCAUCUGCAGUGACAACUGACAAGAACCAUGCAGUCUCAUUUCUGUGAUGAGAGAUUCAAUUCAUAAAAUGGGCUGACCAACGUAAUGUCCAAUGGAGGCCUCACAUAUACAUAGCGCGGUUUGAUUUGUCCGGGUUAGACAGCUUCCCUCAAUUCUGGGAAGAAGGUAUUGGGUUCUAUUUUUAAAUAUGUAAUUCGGGGUGAAAUCGGGUUACUACAUUUUCCAGCAAGCCGCCUGCAGUUAAAAUACAUAUAUUGGUCAAACAUACAUAGCUCGCUAUUUAUAGUGACAAGGAUCACAUGUUGUAACAUCAAGUGUGCUCCGCAUCGUUUAUUUGUAAUAUUAGCAGGAGACACGCACACAAAUUACUAAACAGUGCACGCAAUGCGUGAUACAACAUGAUACGUGACUGGACUACGUGUGGGAGAAAUUGGGUAAACCUGAAUUGGUCGUAAACUGAUUUGGGAGGGAAUAAUCAUGUUUAACCCUGAAAAUGUGUUUUACCCUACAAAUACAGUACUGUUUGCUCUGUCAAUUAGAGUAAAAAUAAAUGUUUUUUUGGUUCUUC
Molecule: long non-coding RNA, 1337 nt
Organism: Ornithodoros turicata
Lineage: Eukaryota; Metazoa; Arthropoda; Arachnida; Ixodida; Argasidae
Exons: 2
Source: RefSeq, a predicted model, not a curated record